Molecule: ribosomal RNA, 253 nt
Filed under: uncultured bacterium
Lineage: Bacteria
Description: partial 16S ribosomal RNA
Rfam family: Bacterial small subunit ribosomal RNA
Source: RNAcentral
UACGGGGGGGGCAAGCGUUGUUCGGAAUUACUGGGCGUAAAGGGCUCGUAGGUGGCCAACUAAGUCAGACGUGAAAUCCCUCAGCUUAACUGGGGAACUGCGUCUGAUACUGGAUGGCUUGAGUUUGGGAGAGGGAUGCGGAAUUCCUGGUGUAGCGGUGAAAUGCGCAGAUAUCAGGAAGAACACCCGUGGCGAAAGCGGCUCUCUGGGACGGUACUGACGCUGAGACGCGAAAGCGUGGGGAGCGAACAGG